Molecule: ribosomal RNA, 253 nt
Filed under: uncultured archaeon
Lineage: Archaea
Description: partial 16S ribosomal RNA
Rfam family: Archaeal small subunit ribosomal RNA
Source: RNAcentral
UCCCAGCAGUCCAAGUCGCAUCCACAUUUAUUGGGUCUAAAACAUCCGUAGCUUGCCAUCUAAGUCUCUUGUGAAAUCGGGGCUCUUAAGGUUCCGGCGCGCAAGAGAUACUGUUUGGCUUGAGACCGGGAGACGUAAGAAGUACGGCGAGGGUAGCGGUAAAAUGCGUUGAUCCUUUCCGGACUAACAACAGCGAAGGCAUCUUACGAGAACGGAUCUGACAGUGAGGGAUGAAGGCUAGGGGCGCAAAGUG